UUGAUGACCUCAGGAAUUUCUACCAAAGUUUCAACUCCACGCUGAGCAGAGGAUCAAUCAUUCAUAACUGCAAACACCUGUGUGACUGUGGGACUACACUUCAUGUUUUCCUUUUACCUCUGAUUCUCCAUGGCUGUGCUCUGCCACUUUCUUUGGUCAAGAGACCGACAUUAAAAGUUUGCUUUAAAAUGGAAAGGAAAAGACUUUAACUUGAUUAAGCUUGACUGGCCUGCCCUUGAUUAGAAAAAAACAGACAAAUUUCAAGUGAAACAUUACUCUUUGCCACUGAAAGAAAGAAAUUGCAGGUGUAACUAUUAAGAUAAAUAUUGUGCUUGUGCCAGUAUGUGUCUCGCUGAGUGGUAUUGGUGAGCCAACAUGCAGAGCAGAGGGACCCUUGAACUGGCACUCCUGAAUGAAAUGCAGCCAUUAUAGUUGUUUACCGGCGGGAGGAGAACUCAGAGUUUACUGUUAACUUUUGGGAUUAAAAAAGUGGAUAUACUCACUUAUCAGCCUGUCUGCAACAUGGAGUCAGACGUAUCAACUGUGUGGUGUUCAGGUGCUGCUCACUGGGGAGGAAAUGUACUUUGUGAAACUACAGACAGAAAAGAGGAAAAAGCAAAAAUAGCUGGGUGGAGCUGUUCCUGUGUCCUGUCAGUCACCUGCCUCCAAUCACUCAUCACUGCCCAUGGAUAUUUAAGAGCGGCUCUCUCUCUCCACCUUUCCCAGAUUAUGCCGUCUACUCUAGUGUGUCGCCUUGAUGUUGCU
Molecule: long non-coding RNA, 765 nt
Organism: Scatophagus argus
Lineage: Eukaryota; Metazoa; Chordata; Actinopteri; Scatophagidae
Exons: 3
Source: RefSeq, a predicted model, not a curated record